GGCUCGGCCUCCUGGGCACUGGCAGUGCUGUGAGUGCUGUCAAAGGAGCUGGCCCAGCCCCUUCCUUCGCCAACGCUCGGGUGAGCUUCUGACGGGAUUUACCGCGGCUACAGCACAGCAAGUUGCGGAUGCUGAGCCUACAGUCCUGGCAGGUGGAACAGCUGCCUGAAGGACCUUGAGAAUUCAGCAAGGCUCGUGUGUCUCCAGAAACUGAAAUAAUACAAUCAAACUGGAAUCCAAUCUGGGGUGUGCUCGUAGGAGGAAAUAAGACUCAAAUUUGUUAUUGCCAAUGUUCACCAAGACUGCUGAGAAGGAAAAGUACUGUUUUACAGGUUUAAAGGUAGCUUCUUACAGAAGCAUAUUAAUUUGUUUUCCUUUCUUAGUUUUCACAGGAUAAAAAGGAUGACUCAUUUGGGACAGUAACUGCAGUAGCACUCUCCCUUCAGGACGAAGAGAGGCAGCCA
Molecule: long non-coding RNA, 464 nt
Organism: Empidonax traillii (willow flycatcher)
Lineage: Eukaryota; Metazoa; Chordata; Aves; Passeriformes; Tyrannidae
Exons: 3
Source: RefSeq, a predicted model, not a curated record